AUCCAACUGACGAGUCCCAAAUAGGAUGAAACUUACGUUCUGGAU
Schistosoma haematobium is the source of this 45-nucleotide non-coding RNA. The record is from Rfam. NCBI's taxonomy places the organism in Eukaryota, Metazoa, Platyhelminthes, Trematoda, Strigeidida, Schistosomatidae.